UACCCGCUGAACUUAAGCAUAUCAAUAAGCGGAGGAAAAGAAACCAACAGGGAUUGCCUCAGUAACGGCGAGUGAAGCGGCAAAAGCUCAGAUUUGAAAUCUGGCGUCAUACUGACGUCCGAGUUGUAAUCUGUAGAGGAGUACUCGAGUGUGGAUUUGGCUUAAGUUCCUUGGAACAGGACGUCAUAGAGGGUGAGAACCCCGUUAACGGCCUAUGUCUUAUACUCAUGUGAGUCUCCUUCAACGAGUCGAGUUGUUUGGGAAUGCAGCUCUAAAUUGGUGGUAAAUUCCAUCUAAAGCUAAAUACUGGCAAGAGACCGAUAGCGCACAAGUAGAGUGAUCGAAAGAUGAAAAGAACUCUGAACAGAGAGUUAAAUAGUACGUGAAAUUGUUGAAAGGGAAGCACUUGCUACCAGACACGCUUGUGGUUGAUCAGCCUCCAUUCUUGGUGGUGCACUCGGCUGCAAGUGGGUCAGCAUCAGUUACAAUGGUGGGAUAAAGACCGAGGGAAUGUGGCUUCUUUCGGGAAGUGUUAUAGCCCUUGGUGUAAUACCAUCUAAUGUGACUGAGGCCCGCGCUUUUGGCGAGGAUGCUGGCAUAAUGGUCGUAAGUGACCCGUCUUGAAACACGGA
RNAcentral lists this ribosomal RNA (632 nucleotides) under Peziza proteana f. proteana. Its description in RNAcentral is "eukaryotic LSU rRNA". It matches the Rfam family "Eukaryotic large subunit ribosomal RNA", at positions 22 to 665 of the family's 3401-position model. Lineage: Eukaryota; Fungi; Ascomycota; Pezizomycetes; Pezizales; Pezizaceae. The record is from RNAcentral.